UAGUCCACGCCGUAAACGAUGUCUACUAGCCGUUGGGAGACUUGAUCUUUUAGUGGCGCAGCUAACGCGAUAAGUAGACCGCCUGGGGAGUACGGCCGCAAGGUUAAAACUCAAAUGAAUUGACGGGGGCCCGCACAAGCGGUGGAGCAUGUGGUUUAAUUCGACGCAACGCGAAGAACCUUACCAACUCUUGACAUCCUGCGAACUUGCUAGAGAUAGCUUGGUGCCUUCGGGAACGCAGAGACAGGUGCUGCAUGGCUGUCGUCAGCUCGUGUUGUGAAAUGUUGGGUUAAGUCCCGUAACGAGCGCAACCCUUGUCCUUAUUUGCCAGCACGUAAAGGUGGGAACUCUAAGGAGACUGCCGGUGACAAACCGGAGGAAGGUGGGGACGACGUCAAGUCAUCAUGGCCCUUACGAGUUGGGCUACACACGUGCUACAAUGGCCGGUACAGAGGGCCGCGAACCUGCGAAGGUAAGCUAAUCUCAGAAAGCCGGUCGUAGUCCGGAUUGGAGUCUGCAACUCGA
RNAcentral lists this ribosomal RNA (525 nucleotides) under uncultured bacterium. Its description in RNAcentral is "bacterial SSU rRNA". It matches the Rfam family "Bacterial small subunit ribosomal RNA", at positions 791 to 1315 of the family's 1533-position model. The record is from RNAcentral.